This 2112-nucleotide long non-coding RNA is filed under the name Homo sapiens (human). Its description in RNAcentral is "long independently transcribed non-coding RNA 2624, transcript variant 1 (LINC02624)". The record is from RNAcentral. Lineage: Eukaryota; Metazoa; Chordata; Mammalia; Primates; Hominidae.
GAACAGGGGGAGACUUGAAUCCUAGAGAAAACAAAACAAAACCUAACAAAACAGAAAUGAACCCUUGAUGAACCUCUUGCUCUGGACUGGUGCCCUGAAAAUGAAUGAAAUUGUUUUAAAGAUUACCAAGAAGAUAUAAAAUAUCAAAUGCGGCAUUAAUGUAUCUGUGUGAUGAAAACUCUAGUUCAGUCAUUUGAAGACAUGGGGCUUCCUCCCUACCUCGCUCUCAGUCAAGGGUUACAGUUUUACUCCAGGAACAGCAUGAACAUGUCAUUCCACUCCAGCCCUGAAUUGCAGAAUCUCUAUUCUGGGUAGCCAUGAGUGGGAACACUGAUCUCCUUUACCUUCCCCAACACCCACUCUAAUGGCAGAAGUUAUGCCCCAAGCACAACAGAUCGAGGAAACUGGAAUCUAUAACAGCCCUGCCCAACUUGCUUAGGGUAGAGGUUCAAUGUCAACAAGGACAAGUUCAAAAGUUCAGGAUCUAUUUCCCUGCCCAGAGUACCACUUGUUGAGUAGAGGUGUCACCCUAAAAGAAGUGGGCCACUGCCUUCACCAUCAGCCCAGCUAAAGUGGCACAGAAGUUCUAUCCAGAGGAGAGGCAGAAAAUAAGAACAAAGAGCUCAGAUCUCUUCCUAAAUGAGUUUACUUAAUUUGGAAGAAACUGUGAGUUCAUGACUGAGGGCAUUGUUGAACACAAUGGAGAUCACCAAAUGAGCAAUUAAGAAGAGACUUGUAGCUCUCUGAUACCCAUAACAAAAAGCAAAAUUGUAGAUGAGAUAGAUAUUUAAUAGAGAGAACCAGAGAAUAAGAUAAGAGCCUUCAUGGGUUCAGAGCAGCCUUCAAGACUGGAAAGAUCCUCCCCCCGCAGAGGGGCCUUACUUUUAACUGGAUCAAACUGUGGAACAAUUUAUGCCUCAAAGCAUUGCUUCAAAAAAAUAGAACAAUUAGAAAGCAAUUUGUGGAUGCUAAAAGCUAGGCAUGAUAUUAAUAGAAGCAGAAUUUCCCAGGUGCUCAGAGAGAUUAUGUAGGCCAAGUAUGCACAUUCUGAGAAGAAACAUCAGAAGCUAUACACUACUGGGGAAAUAGAAUUCACUGAAAUAGUCCAGUCAUCUCACAUUACUAAACAAAUAGACACACAAACAAGAACAAACAAGAAGUGCCAAAAGGGGUGAGAAAGAUAAGAAUUCAGAGUUGCUACAGUAUAUGAAGUAAAAUAUCCAGUUUUCAAUUCAAAAUCAUGAGACAUGCAAAGCAACAGGAAAGUGUGAGCCAUAUACAGGAAUAUUGUCUGCUUUGUAGAGGCAGACGAUAAAAUCUGCCUCUAGGAAGGCCCAGAUGUCAGAUUUAACAGAAUAAAAAGAACUGAGUCAAAGUAUCCCUUAUAAAUAUAUCAAAAAACUAAAGGGAACCAUGCUUAAAUAUGUUAAAAGAAGCUAUGAUGACAAUGUUUUAGCUGAGAAGAUUAUAAACAUAGCCACAUGUAAGUUCUGGAGUGAAAAGUUCUAUCAUCAAAAUAUAAAAUCCACUAGAGAGGCUCAACAUUAUAUUUGAUACAGUUAGCACAUUUGAAGAUAAAUUGAUAGAGAUUAUGUGACCCAAAAAACAGAGAGAAAAUCAAAUUUUAAAAAAUGUAUAGAAUCUCAGAGAAAUGUGGACACCAUUAAGCAUACCAACAUAUACAUAAAGGGUGUACCUGAAAAAGAGAAGAGAAAGGAGCAGAAAAAAAUAUUUUAAGAAUAAUGAGUGAAAACUAAAAAUUGAUGAAAAAAUGAUCUGCACAUCAAAGAAGCCCAUUGAACCCCAAGUAGGAUGAAUGCAAAAAGAUCUACCCAGGUAUAUCAGAGUAAGAAUGCUGAAAUCUAAAGACAGAAAAUACUGCAAGCAGCAAGUGGAAAAUGACUUUGCUUGGACACAGGAAACUUAGUGAGAUUAAGAUCUUCUCAUCAGGAAUAAUGGCGACCAGGAAAGAGUGGGGUGACAUAUUCAAAGUACUGAAAGAAGAAAUAAAAAACAAAAAAAAGCUGUCAACCAAGAAUUAUACAUCCAGCAAAACUAUCUGUAAAAAUGAAGAUGAAAUAAAUAUAUUCUCAGAAAAAAAAAAAAAAAAAA